This 253-nucleotide ribosomal RNA is filed under the name uncultured bacterium. Its description in RNAcentral is "partial 16S ribosomal RNA". It matches the Rfam family "Bacterial small subunit ribosomal RNA", at positions 524 to 776 of the family's 1533-position model. The record is from RNAcentral.
UACAGAGGUCUCAAGCGUUGUUCGGAUUCAUUGGGCGUAAAGGGUGCGUAGGCGGCGCGGUAAGUCGGGUGUGAAAUCUCGGGGCUUAACUUUGGAAUUGCUUUUGAAACUACAAGACUAGAGUGAGUUAGAGGAUGGCGGAAUUCCUAGUGUAGUGGUGAAAUACGUAGAUAUUAGGAAGAACACCGGUGGCGAAGGCGGCCAUCUGGGACUCAACUGACGCUGAGGCGCGAAAGCGUGGGGAUCAAACAGG